UAAAUACUCCCUCCGUUCCAAAAAAUCUUGUCUUAAAUUUAUCUAGAUACGAAUGUAUCUAACACUAAGAUGUGACUAGAUACAUACAUAUGUAGACAAAUCUAAGACAAGAAUUUUGGGACGGAUGGAGUACAAG
Molecule: non-coding RNA, 136 nt
Organism: Triticum aestivum (bread wheat)
Lineage: Eukaryota; Viridiplantae; Streptophyta; Magnoliopsida; Poales; Poaceae
Source: Rfam